AACGAACGCUGGCGGCAUGCCUAACACAUGCAAGUCGAACGAGACCUUCGGGUCUAGUGUCGCACGGGUUCGUAACGCGGGGGAACCUGCCCUUAGGUUCGGAAUAACUCCCCGAAAGGGGUGCUAAUACCGGAUAAUGUCUUCGGACCAAAGAUUUAUCGCCUUUGGAUGGGCCCGCGUUGGAUUAGCUAGUUGGUAGGGUAAAAGCCUACCAAGGCGACGAUCCCUAGAUGGUCUGAGAGGCUGGUCAGCCACACUGGGAGUGAGACACGGCCCAGACUCCUACGGGAGGAAGCAGUGGGGAAUAUAGGAAAGUGGCCGACAGGAUGAUCGAGCAAUGCCGGGAGAGUGAUGAAGGCCUUAGAGUUGUAAAGCUCUUUUAUCCGGGAUGAUAAUGACAGUACCGGAAGAAUAAGCUCCGGCUAACUACGUG
This 433-nucleotide ribosomal RNA is filed under the name uncultured bacterium. Its description in RNAcentral is "partial 16S ribosomal RNA". It matches the Rfam family "Bacterial small subunit ribosomal RNA", at positions 29 to 507 of the family's 1533-position model. The record is from RNAcentral.